AUUGAACGCCGGCGGCAGGCCUAACACAUGCAAGUCGAGCGGUAGCACAGAGAGCUUGCUCUCGGGUGACGAGCGGCGGACGGGUGAGUAAUGUCUGGGAAACUGCCUGAUGGAGGGGGAUAACUACUGGAAACGGUAGCUAAUACCGCAUAAUGUCGCAAGACCAAAGUGGGGGACCUUCGGGCCUCAUGCCAUCAGAUGUGCCCAGAUGGGAUUAGCUAGUAGGUGGGGUAACGGCUCACCUAGGCGACGAUCCCUAGCUGGUCUGAGAGGAUGACCAGCCACACUGGAACUGAGACACGGUCCAGACUCCUACGGGAGGCAGCAGUGGGGAAUAUUGCACAAUGGGCGCAAGCCUGAUGCAGCCAUGCCGCGUGUGUGAAGAAGGCCUUCGGGUUGUAAAGCACUUUCAGCGGGGAGGAAGGCGGUGAGGUUAAUAACCUCAUCGAUUGACGUUACCCGCAGAAGAAGCACCGGCUAACUCCGUGCCAGCAGCCGCGGUAAUACGGAGGGUGCAAGCGUUAAUCGGAAUUACUGGGCGUAAAGCGCACGCAGGCGGUCUGUCAAGUCGGAUGUGAAAUCCCCGGGCUCAACCUGGGAACUGCAUUCGAAACUGGCAGGCUAGAGUCUUGUAGAGGGGGGUAGAAUUCCAGGUGUAGCGGUGAAAUGCGUAGAGAUCUGGAGGAAUACCGGUGGCGAAGGCGGCCCCCUGGACAAAGACUGACGCUCAGGUGCGAAAGCGUGGGGAGCAAACAGGAUUAGAUACCCUGGUAGUCCACGCCGUAAACGAUGUCGAUUUGGAGGUUGUGCCCUUGAGGCGUGGCUUCCGGAGCUAACGCGUUAAAUCGACCGCCUGGGGAGUACGGCCGCAAGGUUAAAACUCAAAUGAAUUGACGGGGGCCCGCACAAGCGGUGGAGCAUGUGGUUUAAUUCGAUGCAACGCGAAGAACCUUACCUGGUCUUGACAUCCACAGAACUUUCCAGAGAUGGAUUGGUGCCUUCGGGAACUGUGAGACAGGUGCUGCAUGGCUGUCGUCAGCUCGUGUUGUGAAAUGUUGGGUUAAGUCCCGCAACGAGCGCAACCCUUAUCCUUUGUUGCCAGCGGUUAGGCCGGGAACUCAUAGGAGACUGCCAGUGAUAAACUGGAGGAAGGUGGGGAUGACGUCAAGUCAUCAUGGCCCUUACGACCAGGGCUACACACGUGCUACAAUGGCAUAUACAAAGAGAAGCGACCUCGCGAGAGCAAGCGGACCUCAUAAAGUAUGUCGUAGUCCGGAUUGGAGUCUGCAACUCGACUCCAUGAAGUCGGAAUCGCUAGUAAUCGUAGAUCAGAAUGCUACGGUGAAUACGUUCCCGGGCCUUGUACACACCGCCCGUCACACCAUGGGAGUGGGUUGCAAAAGAAGUAGGUAGCUUAACCUUCGGGAGGGCGCUUACCACUUUGUGAUUCAUGACUGGGGUG
This 1462-nucleotide ribosomal RNA is filed under the name Klebsiella pneumoniae. Its description in RNAcentral is "bacterial SSU rRNA". It matches the Rfam family "Bacterial small subunit ribosomal RNA". The record is from RNAcentral. Lineage: Bacteria; Pseudomonadati; Pseudomonadota; Gammaproteobacteria; Enterobacterales; Enterobacteriaceae.